UACGUGGUAGUGUUAGCAGAACUGUUGCGUUUGGAAGUACCAGAGUAUUGGUGUAGUGGAAAUGCUAAGUAAUAGCCUGAAGCAGUGAUUGAGCACCUGAUGGGAAGGGAGGGCCAGGGUGGGAAGGGAGCUCAGGUGCAUGUAAUGUACCUGAGUGACUGGAAGAAUGUGCCCCUUCUCAGACCUCAUUUAAGGGUUGGCAGUGGAGGUGAGGAGUUAUGUAGUUAUGGCUAUAAAUAAAAUGGCAGAGUACUGGGGCGAGACAUAGUGUUUCUUCUGAUAUGUCUGUAUUGGGUAGAUCCUACUGCUGAAGAAAUGCUGUCUUGACUGCAAGGGCUAAGAGUAAUACAGGAAUGCUGUGUUAUUCCUCUACUUAGAAGGAACUGACCCUGUGAAGCUCACAGAAAUGCUGCUAAAAGACAGCAUAUAUGAAGCUUUUCCAUGACUCUUUGUAAAUAAGUGGGAAUGCCCUCUUACCACUGUCUGGAUGGUAAGAAAGUCACAUCUCAGUGGCACUGAAUAUGGAUUAGGAUCUUCAUUCCACCUUCCCUUUCUGCUUUAGAAUGCCAGAAGAUAUGGUUUGCUCCAUAUAAAGAAGGGGACCAUGAUCUGAAUAGUUUGAGAAGAACUUUUUGUCCUGCUGCUUUUACUGUACCACAGCUUCCAAUUAAUUUGCUGGCUAAAUUCAUGUUGCUGCUCUUGGCCUGUAAAAGCUGACCUGAAACCAUGUGAUAUUCCUGCAGAAGUCACUAGCAGAUCACCUCUGAUAAUUGACCUCAUCUUCAACAAGCAGAGAUGUGUUCUGCUUGUUUCUUCAGUCUUCCACGUGUGGAGUUUCUGGAGGUUAGAUGAAUGAAUUAAAUGAUCUAAAGGAAUACAUGGGUGCACAAAUCAUGAAUAGCAAAGACAUUUUAUUAGUUUUUAUUUAAACAGUAAGUUGUAAUGUGCCAAAGCAAGUCAUUUUCCCUUACUUCUUCCUUGUGGAAUGAUUCCUGCUGUGCUCAGACAGAAUGUCAAGGUAAGGCUUAAUUCAAUCAAUAUCUCUUAGAAAUGUUUUUUCUGUGUCAGAAAUGAAAGAGAAAAAGGAGCUUUUAAGUGAAAUAUUUCAUUGGAAAGGAAUAAUGGUGUGAUGAGUUUCAUACUCUAGAGAGCUGAACUUGGUUCUCUUUCCUAACACAGAAACCCUGUGAAAUGCUGGGUAAAUCACUUAAAUUUCAAACUCCAAUUAAUUUGAAGAGGAGUAAAAUACUUAAAUACCUACUGAGAGGUAGGACUCAGCCACUCUGUGAAUUGGUUAGUAACAGCUGAUAGCUUGUUUUUCCUUGUAAAUCUUUGAAUAUUUUGAAAGUGCGUUCUGUGCAUAGGAUGUGGUGAUGGACAUCAUAGACUGACAAGAUAUAUUUGUAUAUGUAACUGUAAAAUAUUAGUGAAAACAUCUAAAUGAUAAGAGAAUUGUGUUGGCUUUGUUUUGUUUUCUCUCAAAAGGGAAAAUUAUGUAAACGCUUCAAUAACAGUAUGGCUGUAUUUCUUGUGGACUCAAUCCAUGUCAAUUUUCUCUGUUCUGUACUUGGUUGUUCAUCACAUUUAAUAGAGGUUUUUGGUGUUAAUCUUUGUGAUUCCUUACUCCCAGACUUGUGAAUGAUCAAAACAAAUUAGUAUCUAUUUUUGUAGAGGUUACCAAGGUGGUGUAGGAAAGUAUAAAAGGGAUGACAUUAACAAAAUAGAACUAACAUCAGAAAAAAAUAUUGUUUUAUUGUUUUUUCCACGAUAUUGGGUGAAGCUAAAAAUGGAAAACGAAGAACCUAAAUGAAAUUCUCUGAUUUCCUUUCAGAUCAGGCAUCUAGCAAUUGACAGCAAAUUUAGAAUUAAUAUAAGCUCAUAAUGAGAUGCGAGUUAGUAAGAAAUUUGGAGUAGCUCAGAGCAGAUCAUUUUAUUCACUCUUGUCAGCUAGACCAAAAAACUUGCUUAAAACAAAUGUGGUUGCCUUUGCAGAUAUGAACCUUCUUAAACUAUCUGAACAGGUGAUUAUAGUUUGUAUUACAAGCAGCUAUGCUCAGAAAUAUAUUUCUGGAGAAAAAGAAAUGCUAGGUGUCAGCACGAUUCCUGCUUCUAUCACAGAAGUAACAGAAUCAAGCAAUAGCUUAUUUUAGACAUCUGAACUUGCGUUUCUUUAAAGAGAUCAAAGCAAGUUUGAUAUAGUAUAGCAGUUAAAGAAUUUUAAAAGUCUUUCCUACAAGUAGAGUUUGACAGUCUUGUUUUGAAAAACAUAUUUUGAUAAUUUGGUCCUGUAUUUUGCUUGUUUGGCUUUAUGCAUCUCACUGAAGCCAGUGAAAUUAUGUAUGGAGAGUUAAACUGCUUAUAUCUUUAUGCUGUUGAAGAUCUUGACAUUAUUUAUUGCUUAGCUAUUCUGCAGUGCAGUUGUCUCCUGAAAACAAAGUGGGUGAAAUGCAGAAAUGUUUUUAAAAAGGGGAAGAAAAAAAUCUGCAAAAUGAAUUAGUACUUAUUGGCAGCUGAGAGUUUUGCAACAAGAUUUAGAGCAAAACUGUGAGAUGGUAAUUAUUAUUUACUGCGCUUUAGUUCUUUGAAUACAAAUUAAUGUGUAAGCUAAGUAGAUCAUUACCUCUGCUUUUAUCUCCUCAUAGAUAAACUAUGAGGAAAAAAUGCCAUUGAUUUGAGAGAGUGUGCCUGUGCAAUUAUCUGCUAUCUUGCUGUUUACCAUGUCUAAGCACAAAUGUUGUAUUUUGCCCUGACCACGUUAGCAUCAGUAGAGAGGUCAGUACCAUUAGCAGAUUGAUCCUUCUCACACUCUGUUUUAUGGCCCAUAUCCAUUGUUAGUUUCACUUCAACGACUUUUCUGUUUCUUUCACUUCAGUUAAUUUAAAUAAACAA
Molecule: non-coding RNA, 2889 nt
Organism: Phasianus colchicus (ring-necked pheasant)
Lineage: Eukaryota; Metazoa; Chordata; Aves; Galliformes; Phasianidae
Source: RefSeq, a predicted model, not a curated record